Gossypium arboreum is the source of this 414-nucleotide long non-coding RNA. RefSeq lists it as uncharacterized. Lineage: Eukaryota; Viridiplantae; Streptophyta; Magnoliopsida; Malvales; Malvaceae. The transcript is spliced from 2 exons. The record is from RefSeq and is a predicted model, not a curated record.
AUUGCUAAACCCCUCAAUUGGGAGUUGUUUUGUGAGAAAAGACCUUGUGCAGAUGAAGAGAUAGUUCAUGAAUUUUAUGUGAAUUUGACCUCAAGCUAAUUAACGGAAGUUGCUGUUUGAGGAAUCAAGCAAUGAGUUGAAUUAAGCGAGGAUCCCGAAGAAGAAGAAGAAGAUCCCGCAGAGAUCAAACCAAUGCAGUCAGCUAAAAUCCCUGAUAAGGCAGAGCCAAUUGAACCAAUAACCGAACCUAACAUGGCAACCUCAACAUUCAGAACUCAAUCGCCUCACCUAGAUCUUCGUGAUGAAUUGUCAAAGUUGAUGGACCUAAUGCAAAGUAUGUAGUGGCAGCAACAAGCUUACUGGAUAUUUUCAAAAAUAUGAGAUGACUUAAUGAGAAGCGCUUUUAUGAAAAUA